RNAcentral lists this ribosomal RNA (801 nucleotides) under uncultured bacterium. RNAcentral's name for it is "bacterial SSU rRNA". It matches the Rfam family "Bacterial small subunit ribosomal RNA", at positions 8 to 798 of the family's 1533-position model. The record is from RNAcentral.
AGAGUUUGAUCAUGGCUCAGAUUGAACGCUGGCGGCAGGCCUAACACAUGCAAGUCGAGCGGUAGCACAAGAGAGCUUGCUCUCUGGGUGACGAGCGGCGGACGGGUGAGUAAUGUCUGGGAAACUGCCUGAUGGAGGGGGAUAACUACUGGAAACGGUAGCUAAUACCGCAUAACGUCUUCGGACCAAAGUGGGGGACCUUCGGGCCUCACGCCAUCAGAUGUGCCCAGAUGGGAUUAGCUAGUAGGUGGGGUAAUGGCUCACCUAGGCGACGAUCCCUAGCUGGUCUGAGAGGAUGACCAGCCACACUGGAACUGAGACACGGUCCAGACUCCUACGGGAGGCAGCAGUGGGGAAUAUUGCACAAUGGGCGCAAGCCUGAUGCAGCCAUGCCGCGUGUGUGAAGAAAGCCUUCGGGUUGUAAAGCACUUUCAGCGAGGAGGAAGGGUAGUGUGUUAAUAGCACAUUGCAUUGACGUUACUCGCAGAAGAAGCACCGGCUAACUCCGUGCCAGCAGCCGCGGUAAUACGGAGGGUGCAAGCGUUAAUCGGAAUUACUGGGCGUAAAGCGCACGCAGGCGGUUUGUUAAGUCAGAUGUGAAAUCCCCGCGCUUAACGUGGGAACUGCAUUUGAAACUGGCAAGCUAGAGUCUUGUAGAGGGGGGUAGAAUUCCAGGUGUAGCGGUGAAAUGCGUAGAGAUCUGGAGGAAUACCGGUGGCGAAGGCGGCCCCCUGGACAAAGACUGACGCUCAGGUGCGAAAGCGUGGGGAGCAAACAGGAUUAGAUACCCCGGUAGUCCAA